GACGAACGCUGGCGGCGUGCUUAACACAUGCAAGUCGAACGGAAAGGCCCUGCUUUUGUGGGGUGCUCGAGUGGCGAAAGGGUGAGUAACACGUGAGUAACCUGCCCUUGACUUUGGGAUAACUUCAGGAAACUGGGGCUAAUACCGGAUAGGAGCUCCUGCUGCAUGGUGGGGGUUGGAAAGUUUCGGCGGUUGGGGAUGGACUCGCGGCUUAUCAGCUUGUUGGUGGGGUAGUGGCUUACCAAGGCUUUGACGGGUAGCCGGCCUGAGAGGGUGACCGGCCACAUUGGGACUGAGAUACGGCCCAGACUCCUACGGGAGGCAGCAGUGGGGAAUAUUGCACAAUGGGCGGAAGCCUGAUGCAGCAACGCCGCGUGCGGGAUGACGGCCUUCAGGUUGUAAACCGCUUUCGCCUGUGACGAAGCGUGAGGGACGGUAAUGGGUAAAGAAACACCGGCUAACUACGU
RNAcentral lists this ribosomal RNA (467 nucleotides) under uncultured bacterium. RNAcentral's name for it is "partial 16S ribosomal RNA". It matches the Rfam family "Bacterial small subunit ribosomal RNA", at positions 28 to 506 of the family's 1533-position model. The record is from RNAcentral.